UUUAAACCCUAAAUAUGAUUUAUUAAUUCUCAUAUUA
Molecule: transfer RNA, 37 nt
Filed under: Placobdella picta
Lineage: Eukaryota; Metazoa; Annelida; Clitellata; Rhynchobdellida; Glossiphoniidae
Description: partial tRNA-Leu
Source: RNAcentral